This 327-nucleotide long non-coding RNA is filed under the name Manihot esculenta (cassava). RNAcentral describes it as "long non-coding RNA (MESC_LNC011762)". The record is from RNAcentral. Lineage: Eukaryota; Viridiplantae; Streptophyta; Magnoliopsida; Malpighiales; Euphorbiaceae.
UAAAACUUACUUUAAACAUGAAAUGAGCUUAAGAUCGGCCCUUACCUCUUGAAGAUCGAGAGAGAGACGUCCUAAACUCGAAGGUGGGAGAUUUUGAGUUCUUGAACCUCAAAGCUCCAAAACUUGCUUUAAACUCGAAAAUCUUCAAAACAAAGCAAAAGCUUGUGAAAAACUUGAAAGAUUUGAAGGAAAGAACUCAAGGAUGGUGAGGAAUGGCGGAAGGACUCACCUUGGCCGAAAAUGGGGAGAAGCUCGCCCGUUUUCGGCUAAGGGACCCUUUUAUAGUGGCUGGCCAGGCCACGUUCGGGGGCCGAAAGUGCCUCCGCA